GCCCGGGUGACGAAAUUGGUAGACGUAGCGCACUUAAAAUGCGCCGGCGCAAGCCUUACGGGUUCGACCCCCGUCCCGGGCA
This 82-nucleotide transfer RNA is filed under the name Thauera chlorobenzoica. RNAcentral describes it as "tRNA-Leu". It matches the Rfam family "tRNA". Rfam says of the family: Transfer RNA (tRNA) molecules are approximately 80 nucleotides in length. The record is from RNAcentral. Lineage: Bacteria; Pseudomonadati; Pseudomonadota; Betaproteobacteria; Rhodocyclales; Zoogloeaceae.